RNAcentral lists this unclassified non-coding RNA (1245 nucleotides) under Eurytemora carolleeae. Its description in RNAcentral is "1-acyl-sn-glycerol-3-phosphate acyltransferase alpha". The record is from RNAcentral. Lineage: Eukaryota; Metazoa; Arthropoda; Copepoda; Calanoida; Temoridae.
UUAAAGUGAAAAAACAAUGGAAUUAGAUAUAUUAUACAAAAAGGGAGGCCCAUUAGUGGUUUUCUGGAGUUGGAACCUUUUUAUCUUUGCAGCAAAGUUGUAAUGCAGUUUGGUUGCAUCUGAAAGAAGAACAUGAUAGAAAGAAUUAAAGGAACAAGAAGAGAGAUCUGAUAAUGGCUUAGCAUACCUUCAAUACCUUAUGUACUUAACGCUUUAACCUUCAUCAUCACCUUUACACUAAGACCUUAAACAUCAUGGAGAAUUCAUGGAUUCUAUUUAUUUUCUUUAUCAUCAUACUGAUUCUUUUUAAUACUUCACAGGCCUUCAACUAUUUAAUAAAGUUUGUGUACUUAACAGUGAUAUACAUGAGCCUGGCUUUCUUUGUAAUACUGAUAAGCUUACCGAGGCCCCGUCAUCAUAGGAAUGGUUUUAUCACGGCAAAUAUCUUGCAUUGGGUUCAUAGAACGGUUGGAGUAGAGUUGAUCCUAGAGGGUGAGGAGCAUCUUAAACCUGAAGGAGGAGCCGUUGUUGUUCUUAAUCAUCAGUCUGUUAUUGACCUAAUGCCUAUUAUGGAACUUUGGAGAAGAAUUGGCAAAAUGGCUCCGAUCGCUAAAAAAUCUGUGUUAUACGCUGGUCCAGUUGGUAUAGCAAGCUGGUUUGUCGGAGUAGUAUUUAUCGACAGGAAUAGUAAAACAAGUCAUGCAGACGUGAAUAAUGCUGGUCAAUUGGCGAAGAAAAAUAAAACAAAACUGCUUGUAUUUCCAGAGGGAACUAGAAAUGGGGAUAAAAACCUCUCAAUGCGUCCCUUUAAGAAAGGGGCUUUUCAUGUUGCCUUGGACGGUGAAAUGCCAAUUAUUCCUGUAGUAGUUUCGGAGUAUAAUUUCUUGGACUGGAAAAAGAUGAUGUUUCGUCCAGGCCGAGCAAUUAUUCGAGUUUUACCGCCGAUUGACACUUCCGCGUACUCAAAGACGAAUAUAGAAGAUUUGGUUGAGAAGACUCGAUCACAAAUGCUAGAAACUCUUGCUGAGAUAUCCGAACCUGUCAAAUCGCGCUAAAUUGCGACCUGAUAAAAUUCCAUCCAGAUCAAAAUUUUUAGUUUUGAAUCAAUCAUCUUUAGAUUUUAUUUUAUAAGGAGAGUAUUUCUCGUUAUUAGCUUAAUUUAAAUAUUAGUUUAAUUGAAUGCUUGAUGAUAUUACUUGGUGACGAUUAUUUAUUAAAAAUUCUACUUUUCUAAUGAAUUUCAGA